UCGGAUAUGGUGUAACGGCCAACAUUAGCGCCUCUCAUGUGUUCUGAGGGCUGUUCGUGUUCGCGCUAGCUCGGAGUUCGAUUCCCCGUAUCCGAA
Hymenopellis radicata is the source of this 96-nucleotide non-coding RNA. Lineage: Eukaryota; Fungi; Basidiomycota; Agaricomycetes; Agaricales; Physalacriaceae. The record is from the annotation of a GenBank genome assembly.